AUACGGAGGAUCCGAGCGUUAUCCGGAUUUAUUGGGUUUAAAGGGUGCGUAGGCGGCCUUUUAAGUCAGCGGUGAAAGUCUGUGGCUCAACCAUAGAAUUGCCGUUGAAACUGGGAGGCUUGAGUAUGUUUGAGGCAGGCGGAAUGCGUGGUGUAGCGGUGAAAUGCUUAGAUAUCACGCAGAACCCCGAUUGCGAAGGCACCCGGCCAAGCCAUGACUGACGCUGAUGCACGAAAGCGUGGGGAUCAAACAGGAUUAGAUACCCUGGUAGUCCACGCAGUAAACGAUGAUCACUAGCUGUUUGCGAUACACUGUAAGCGGCACAGCGAAAGCGUUAAGUGAUCCACCUGGGGAGUACGCCGGCAACGGUGAAACUCAAAGGAAUUGACGGGG
RNAcentral lists this ribosomal RNA (393 nucleotides) under uncultured bacterium. Its description in RNAcentral is "partial 16S ribosomal RNA". It matches the Rfam family "Bacterial small subunit ribosomal RNA", at positions 523 to 918 of the family's 1533-position model. The record is from RNAcentral.